UACUUCCACAAGGGGAGCUGUUAAAAGCGGCUGAGAGUGAACGUUUAGUUCUUACCCUUUGAACCUGUUAGUUAACGCUAGCGUAGGGAUGUGGCAUGCCGAAUGU
Molecule: non-coding RNA, 106 nt
Filed under: Bacillus sp. (in: firmicutes)
Lineage: Bacteria; Bacillati; Bacillota; Bacilli; Caryophanales; Bacillaceae
Also listed under: 1 other name
Description: Bacillus sp. TPP sequence
Rfam family: TPP riboswitch aptamer (THI element)
About the family: Vitamin B(1) in its active form thiamin pyrophosphate (TPP) is an essential coenzyme that is synthesised by coupling of pyrimidine and thiazole moieties in bacteria. The previously detected thiamin-regulatory element, thi box was extended, resulting in a new, highly conserved RNA secondary structure, the THI element, which is widely distributed in eubacteria and also occurs in some archaea.
Source: RNAcentral